AGAGUUUGAUCCUGGCUCAGAACGAACGCUGGCGGCAGGCUUAACACAUGCAAGUCGAACGAGAAGCUCACUUCGGUGAGUGGAAAGUGGCAGACGGGUGAGUAACGCGUGGGAAUAUACCUUUCGGUACGGAACAACAGUUGGAAACGACUGCUAAUACCGUAUGCGCCCUACGGGGGAAAGAUUUAUCGCCGAAGGAUUAGCCCGCGUUGGAUUAGCUAGUUGGUGGGGUAAAGGCCUACCAAGGCGACGAUCCAUAGCUGGUCUGAGAGGAUGAUCAGCCACACUGGGACUGAGACACGGCCCAGACUCCUACGGGAGGCAGCAGUGGGGAAUAUUGGACAAUGGGCGCAAGCCUGAUCCAGCCAUGCCGCGUGAGUGAUGAAGGCCCUAGGGUUGUAAAGCUCUUUCAACGGUGAAGAUAAUGACGGUAACCGUAGAAGAAGCCCCGGCUAACUUCGUGCCAGCCGCCGCGGUAAUAC
Molecule: ribosomal RNA, 482 nt
Filed under: uncultured bacterium
Lineage: Bacteria
Description: bacterial SSU rRNA
Rfam family: Bacterial small subunit ribosomal RNA
Source: RNAcentral